This 260-nucleotide long non-coding RNA is filed under the name Nicotiana benthamiana. RNAcentral describes it as "long non-coding RNA (NBEN_LNC032526)". The record is from RNAcentral. Lineage: Eukaryota; Viridiplantae; Streptophyta; Magnoliopsida; Solanales; Solanaceae.
GCAUGGGAUUGGAAGGAAAAAGCAGUUGAGCCAUCUAAACCUCCAGCACCAUCAUAUCUUGAUGACGAGGAGCAUGAUGAACCUGUGCAACAACAGUCUCCCUUAGAAAUACAACCAAUACAGCAUGGUCGAUCACAGAGACAACGACGUCUACCAGCUCAUUUGGAGGAUUACGUUGUCGGUAAUGAUGUUGAUACUCUAACUGACGAAGAUAUUUUGAACUUUGCCUUGUUUUCAGAUUGCGAUCCUGUGGAUUNNNN